GACGAACGCUGGCGGCGUGCUUAACACAUGCAAGUCGAGCGGUAAGGCCCUUUCGGGGGUACACGAGCGGCGAACGGGUGAGUAACACGUGGGUGACCUGCCCCUCAGCUCUGGGACUAAGCCUGGGAAACCGGGUCUAAUACUGGAUAUGACUCCAUGACGCAUGUUGUGGGGUGAAAGCCUUGUGCGGCUGAGGAUGGGCCCGCGGCCUAGUCAGCUUGUUGGUGGGGUGANGGCCUACCAAGGCGACGACGGGUAGCCGGCCU
RNAcentral lists this ribosomal RNA (266 nucleotides) under uncultured bacterium. Its description in RNAcentral is "partial 16S ribosomal RNA". It matches the Rfam family "Bacterial small subunit ribosomal RNA", at positions 28 to 293 of the family's 1533-position model. The record is from RNAcentral.